CUGGCAAGGCUUUUUUAUUUUUUUUUCUGGGAUGCCUUCCUACGAUGCGUCCCAGAAAAAAAUAAAAUAGCCUUGCCAG
Molecule: small RNA, 79 nt
Filed under: Mytilus galloprovincialis (Mediterranean mussel)
Lineage: Eukaryota; Metazoa; Mollusca; Bivalvia; Mytilida; Mytilidae
Source: RNAcentral